RNAcentral lists this ribosomal RNA (541 nucleotides) under uncultured bacterium. RNAcentral's name for it is "partial 16S ribosomal RNA". It matches the Rfam family "Bacterial small subunit ribosomal RNA", at positions 355 to 889 of the family's 1533-position model. The record is from RNAcentral.
UGGGGAAUUUUGGACAAUGGGGGAAACCCUGAUCCAGCCAUCCCGCGUGUGCGAUGAAGGCCUUCGGGUUGUAAAGCACUUUUGGCAGGAAAGAAACGUCGCGGGUUAAUACCCCGCGAAACUGACGGUACCUGCAGAAUAAGCACCGGCUAACUACGUGCCAGCAGCCGCGGUAAUACGUAGGGUGCAAGCGUUAAUCGGAAUUACUGGGCGUAAAGCGUGCGCAGGCGGUUCGGAAAGAAAGAUGUGAAAUCCCAGAGCUUAACUUUGGAACUGCAUUUUUAACUACCGGGCUAGAGUGUGUCAGAGGGAGGUGGAAUUCCGCGUGUAGCAGUGAAAUGCGUAGAUAUGCGGAGGAACACCGAUGGCGAAGGCAACCUCCUGGGAUAACACUGACGCUCAUGCACGAAAGCGUGGGGAGCAAACAGGAUUAGAUACCCUGGUAGUCCACGCCCUAAACGAUGUCAACUAGCUGUUGGGGCCUUCGGGCCUUGGUAGCGCAGCUAACGCGUGAAGUUGACCGCCUGGGGAGUACGGUCGC